Molecule: long non-coding RNA, 434 nt
Organism: Bubalus bubalis (water buffalo)
Lineage: Eukaryota; Metazoa; Chordata; Mammalia; Artiodactyla; Bovidae
Exons: 2
Source: RefSeq, a predicted model, not a curated record
UCAUUACAAGGAGCCUUAGACGUGGAGGAGGGAUGCAGACCCGUGUCAGAGAUGCACACUGAGAGGCUAAACCAGCCUCUCAUCAGCUCACACUGAUGUGCAGAGGCCAUAAGCCAAGGAGGGCAGGCAGCUUCUAAGCGUGAGAAGGAAGCAAGCCUCCAGAAGAAACGGCAUCCUGCUGACACUGUGAUUUGAAGCCAAUGAGACGCAUUUGGGACUUUGGAUCCUCAGAACCACAAUAACAAAAAUGCCCAUGGUGCAUCUGCCAAAACUUUUUCAUCUCAAAGGUUGUAUUUGGGACUCAGUCUUACACCUCAUAUAUCUUGUAUCCCUUUUAUCCUUUAUUUUUAGUCUGUUUUAUUAUCAUGGAACGUUUAUCUGCCAUUAAGUGUGGUUUGGUGGUACUGUUUAUAUUAAACUUUGAUCAUAUUCUU